This 948-nucleotide ribosomal RNA is filed under the name Listeria monocytogenes. RNAcentral's name for it is "partial 23S ribosomal RNA". It matches the Rfam family "Bacterial large subunit ribosomal RNA", at positions 1 to 941 of the family's 2925-position model. Lineage: Bacteria; Bacillati; Bacillota; Bacilli; Caryophanales; Listeriaceae. The record is from RNAcentral.
UUGGUUAAGUUAGAAAGGGCGCACGGUGGAUGCCUUGGCACUAGGAGCCGAAGAAGGACGGGACUAACACCGAUAUGCUUUGGGGAGCUGUACGUAAGCGUUGAUCCAGAGAUUUCCGAAUGGGGGAACCCACUAUCUUUAGUCGGAUAGUAUCCUUACGUGAAUACAUAGCGUGAGGAAGGCAGACCCAGGGAACUGAAACAUCUAAGUACCUGGAGGAAGAGAAAGAAAAAUCGAUUUCCUGAGUAGCGGCGAGCGAAACGGAAAGAGCCCAAACCAAGAAGCUUGCUUCUUGGGGUUGUAGGACACUCUAUACGGAGUUACAAAAGAAAGUUAUAAAUGAAGCGGUCUGGAAAGGCCCGCCAAAGACGGUAACAGCCCGGUAGUUGAAAUGGCUUUCCCUCCAGAGUGGAUCCUGAGUACGGCGGAACACGUGAAAUUCCGUCGGAAUCCGGGAGGACCAUCUCCCAAGGCUAAAUACUCCCUAGUGACCGAUAGUGAACCAGUACCGUGAGGGAAAGGUGAAAAGCACCCCGGAAGGGGAGUGAAACAGUUCCUGAAACCGUGUGCCUACAAGUAGUUAGAGCCCGUUAAUGGGUGAUAGCGUGCCUUUUGUAGAAUGAACCGGCGAGUUACGAUUUGUUGCAAGGUUAAGCGGAAAAAGCGGAGCCGUAGCGAAAGCGAGUCUGAAUAGGGCGCAUAAGUAACAGGUCGUAGACCCGAAACCAGGUGAUCUACCCAUGUCCAGGAUGAAGGUAAGGUAAUACUUACUGGAGGUCCGAACCCACGCACGUUGAAAAGUGCGGGGAUGAGGUGUGGGUAGCGGAGAAAUUCCAAUCGAACUUGGAGAUAGCUGGUUCUCUCCGAAAUAGCUUUAGGGCUAGCCUCGAGGUAAAGAGUCAUGGAGGUAGAGCACUGUUUGGACUAGGGGCCCUUCUCGGGUUACCG